AGGGUGACUGAGUCACGCAGUGUAAGUAAAUCUUCCUCGACUAUUGCUGUGAACUGGUUUAGCGAACAUGUGUUAGCAGUUAAUGGGUCACGCUUAUUCCAAUCCUGUAUUGCUGUAGGAAAGUACGAAUACUUCGGACAGCUAGAAUGAUGUGUGUAUCCAGAGAGUUUGAAAGAGUGCUUGAUGCGUGUAGGCCUUGCUGACGUUACACAAUUGUAUCUAAUAGUGUCAGUAUUCACCUGGUUGGGAAGAAGCUGCUGAGUCACAGUUUACAGCCUUUUAUGAAAACCAUGUGGACAAAGUGACAAAAUGCUUUCUUCUUCCAGGUAUGUGGUCAUAUGUUUCAAGACUAUACGCUCUAAAAGUUCAUGGGUGCUGCUGGCUUGUCCCCUUCAUCGUAAUGCAAGGGUCAGGACAUGCCCUUCUUCGUCUGGAAAACAACACAC
Molecule: long non-coding RNA, 446 nt
Filed under: Dermacentor andersoni
Lineage: Eukaryota; Metazoa; Arthropoda; Arachnida; Ixodida; Ixodidae
Description: uncharacterized LOC126523089
Source: RNAcentral